CACGGUGCGAUCUCCGGUAUUGAUCACGAUGCCCUUUGCAGAGCCUAGGAAAGAGUGACCUCUGUUUGUCAUCUCGUGUCAUUCUGGGUUGUUGUUGGAGAAGUCGGGAGUUCGGGUCUGAGGCUCGGAUUCGCCAGUAAGGGAGGAAUUGUCGACCUGAAAGGGUCUAUAUACCUGAGGAACGAGGUUCUUGAAGGACUCCAUGAUCUUUGAACUCUUGGCUUCUUGAUAGUAGGAAAAACAACCGGUGAUCAUCACCACGGCGGAGAGCACGAUUCCGAGGAGGACACCGGAGCUCCUGGAGGAAACCCAAACGGAACGGGGGACCCGAACCCAGGACCUUCUCGCUCUGACCAGAUAGGUCAGAGCCGUACUUGCGGUGAAGCUCGUCCAAGGUCAGCUUAUGGUCAUCCUUCGAAGAAGAAACACGCAUAUCACACGACACGAAU
Long non-coding RNA from Trichomycterus rosablanca, 449 nucleotides. RefSeq lists it as uncharacterized. The transcript is spliced from 5 exons. The record is from RefSeq and is a predicted model, not a curated record. Lineage: Eukaryota; Metazoa; Chordata; Actinopteri; Siluriformes; Trichomycteridae.